Molecule: long non-coding RNA, 207 nt
Filed under: Mytilus galloprovincialis (Mediterranean mussel)
Lineage: Eukaryota; Metazoa; Mollusca; Bivalvia; Mytilida; Mytilidae
Source: RNAcentral
GUUGGUCUCAUCUGUUUAUGUUACAUUUCCAUUCCAUUGUAUAUGAGCAUAGUUGAAAGUUUUGAUGAUAAGGGAGAUAAUUCAAUAUAUUUUUCAAGAUAACAAACAGGUGUUUCCCCCUUCAAUUCAAGUUACUUUUACCAGGCUACACCUCUGUGACUUCAAUAAAAAAAUAAAGAAGCAAUCAAUUCAUUCCUUGCUUUAAAU